GGCGGUUCUUGAACUCGGUAUUGGAGCUAAUAUCACUCAAAAUCUCGAGACAGUAUGAAAUUGCUUUGAGCUUCCUUGGUGAGUAGUCUCUCUGCUUCGUCUCUUUAUCACAACAUUUCACUGAACUGAGGAAAUAAAAACUGGUUUUGCCAUUAAAUUCCAACAUUUGUUAUGUUGAGUUUGAUUAGGAAGUAACUCUCCAUGAGAUUCAUACAGAAUAUAUCAAGCUUUGUGGGCAGUGUAGAAGAAAUACUGAUAUUAAAAAGCUUUAUGACAACCUUGAAAUUGCAUUACAAACAUUUGACAUUGCCCUAGAACAAAUAUAUAGUUGAAUCAGCAUAUGGAAUGGUUACAACAAAAAUUGAAGCAGAGAAUUAUAUAGGCUAAACUGUCUAAGAUCAGAACCCUCAAAACGAAUUUGAGAAAACAAGGUAAGAAUAUGAACUACACAUACACUACAGAGACCUAACUGAAGCAACAAUCCCAUCUAUUUGACAAUUCUCAAAACUUCAUAUUUCCCCACCUCUGGCCCCCGAACCUUUCACUGUAUGGUGUGUUUCAGGCGACACAAAUUAAUUAGGUUUAAUCUUCCUUUUCGAAAUCUGAAGAGGUGCCUGCAAUUGUCUGAAUCUCGAGAAGGGACGUGUGAAAUGCAAAUAUAGCAUUAUCCAUCAACAAUGAACUGGUCUUCUUGAUUAUCUCCUUCGACCCGUGCAUCACCAUGAACCAUACCAUUUACAUGGUGCAAGUUCUGCAUCAUCUGGGACAUAUAUUGACCACUAGCUCCCGUGUGAUCAGAAAGCGCCGUGGGCUGACUAGUCCACUGUGAAACAAUUCCAAGUAACUGAUUAGUAAGAUUUUGUUGUUCAUUAAGUAUUCGAGCUUGAAUCUGGCCCAUUUCUACUUGGUGUUGAUUUAACAUCUCAUCAAUCCUCUUCUUCCAUUCUGAUCUCCUCCGACUCUGUUUCUCUUCCCAUUCCUGCUCAUUUUUCAACCCUUCCUCUCUUCUUCGCUGUCUCUCUUCACUCUCCCUCUCCAUAGCUUCCCAUUCUUGAAUUCUCUGCCCCCUCAAAUUCUUCUUAGCUUUCUCCCUCUCUUCUCGAUCUUUAUCCAUUUCUUCCAAUUUCCUCUCACGUUCCCGCUCAAUUUCCAUGUGAAGAUGCUCUCUUCGCUGCCUCUCCCGCUCUCUCUCCGCCUCACGCUGCACGAAUCGAGUUUCCAUCUCCCUUAACCUCCCCAACUGAUUGACAAGAAAACCCCAUGCCCUCUUCUCCAACCCUUUUGACACCUUUCUUUUCCUUGUAUCUGAUCCACUCGGCUCUAUAUCUUCACAAACAAAUCCAUCAUCUCCAUCCUCUCUCAUCGGGAUAUCACUUUUAUUACCUCCGUUAUAAUUCUCUUCACCCUCCUCCGCAUCAUAGUCAAACUCCAAAUCCAAAACCCCAUUCUCAACCCCAUCAAUCCCAGCUGCAAAAUCCCCCUCUGCCGAUUGACCCAAAUGCCCAAAUUGAGGUAUAUCCAUCCCAUGACCACUCCCCUCAAACCCUCCACUAUUUUCAUUCACCUCCCCCACAACCACCAUCGAAUCAUUACCACCAAACAUCAAUGCCACAUCCCCAAACACCUCCUUGUAUCGAAGAAAAUUCGACCAAUGUGUCACCCCCUCCAUCCAAUCAAAUUCCUCACCGCCCGAGCCUCCUCCCACCAAUGAUUCAGGCUUCUUAAUCUUCUGCUUCACCAAGGAAUACUGAUGCCUCAUGUUCUGCACUUUGGUUGACACAUCUUUCCAAGUCCAUUGCCACGGGUACGUGGCCGGGUCCCGGACAUGGUGCACUGUAUUCACAUGUAAAGCAAUGGGCCUGUAUUUUUUCUCUCGAGUUUUCAUCUUAACCAAAGUCCCAUUACGCACCAUCUCACCAUACUUGUCUAUUAAAGUCCUUUCCUCUGCCUCAGUCCACUUCUUUCUUCGGGGUUGAGGCAUCAUCAUUUAUACAACUACAAUAGUUCUAUGCUCAUCCAAUCAAAUAACUAAACACUAAAUAAAAUUUCAAGAAUUAGGAUCAAGAUUCUUGACCCUAACAUAAGUUUGUAUAUGCAGAUUCCUCUAUAGUUAUGAAGAAUCAAGGAAAUGGUUAAGCACUGACCUUGAGAAAAUCGGCUUUAAUGGGGUCUUGCAAUUGGAUUGAACUGAAAUGGCCCCUGGGAUAGGGGACGAAGUUUGGGAGGAAGAAUAUCGGGAAAGUUGGGGGAAGAAUUUGUGAUGAGAGAGAAAGUGGACUAUGCUUCCAUCGUUGAGUGGAAAAGUGAAUUAAUUUAUUUUCAGUGAAAAAAAAAAAAAAAAUUGUGCC
This 2348-nucleotide long non-coding RNA is filed under the name Olea europaea (common olive). RNAcentral describes it as "long non-coding RNA (OEUR_LNC015541)". The record is from RNAcentral. Lineage: Eukaryota; Viridiplantae; Streptophyta; Magnoliopsida; Lamiales; Oleaceae.